RNAcentral lists this ribosomal RNA (494 nucleotides) under uncultured bacterium. RNAcentral describes it as "partial 16S ribosomal RNA". It matches the Rfam family "Bacterial small subunit ribosomal RNA", at positions 28 to 507 of the family's 1533-position model. The record is from RNAcentral.
GACGAACGCUGGCGGCGUGCUUAACACAUGCAAGUCGAACGGAAAGGCCUGCUUUCCCUUGUGGAUUGCGGGUACUCGAGUGGCGAACGGGUGAGUAACACGUGAGUGAUCUGCCCCCAACUUGGGUAUAAGCCUGGGAAACUGGGUCUAAUUCCCGAUAGGACUGCAGGGUGGUGCCUGUGGUGGAAAACGAUUUUCUAGUGGUUGGGGAUGAGCUCGCGGCCUAUCAGCUUGUUGGUGGGGUAAUGGCCUACCAAGGCGGCGACGGGUAGCCGGCCUGAGAGGGGGGACGGCAACAUUGGGACUGAGAUACGGCCCAGACUCCGACGGGAGGCAGCAGUGGGGAAUAUUGCACAAGGGGCGGAAGCCUGAUGCAGCGACGCCGCGUGGGGGAUGACGGCCUUCGGGUUGUAAACUCCUUUCGACCGCGAGGAAGCCACCUGGUUGGAAGGGUGGUGACGGUAGUGGUAGAAGAAGCACCGGCUAACUACGUG